This 1022-nucleotide ribosomal RNA is filed under the name Hysterographium fraxini. Its description in RNAcentral is "SSU rRNA". It matches the Rfam family "Eukaryotic small subunit ribosomal RNA", at positions 79 to 1109 of the family's 1831-position model. Lineage: Eukaryota; Fungi; Ascomycota; Dothideomycetes; Hysteriales; Hysteriaceae. The record is from RNAcentral.
CGGUGAAACUGCGAAUGGCUCAUUAAAUCAGUUAUCGUUUAUUUGAUAGUACCUUACUACUUGGAUAACCGUGGUAAUUCUAGAGCUAAUACAUGCUGAAAGCCCCGACUCCGGGAGGGGCGUAUUUAUUAGAUAAAAAACCAAUGCCCUUCGGGGCUCCUUGGUGAUUCAUGAUAACUAAACGAAUCGCAUGGCCUUGCGCCGGCGAUGGUUCAUUCAAAUUUCUGCCCUAUCAACUUUCGAUGGUAGGAUAGUGGCCUACCAUGGUAUCAACGGGUAACGGGGAAUUAGGGUUCGACUCCGGAGAGGGAGCCUGAGAAACGGCUACCACAUCCAAGGAAGGCAGCAGGCGCGCAAAUUACCCAAUCCCGACACGGGGAGGUAGUGACAAUAAAUACUGAUACAGGGCUCUUUUGGGUCUUGUAAUUGGAAUGAGUACAAUUUAAAUCCCUUAACGAGGAACAAUUGGAGGGCAAGUCUGGUGCCAGCAGCCGCGGUAAUUCCAGCUCCAAUAGCGUAUAUUAAAGUUGUUGCAGUUAAAAAGCUCGUAGUUGAACCUUGGGCCUGGCUGGCCGGUCCGCCUCACCGCGUGCACUGGUCCGGCCGGGCCUUUCCUCCUGGGGAGCCGCAUGCCCUUCGCUGGGCGUGCCGGGGAACCAGGACUUUUACUUUGAAAAAAUUAGAGUGUUCAAAGCAGGCCUUUGCUCGGAUACAUUAGCAUGGAAUAAUAGAAUAGGACGUGCGGUUCUAUUUUGUUGGUUUCUAGGACCGCCGUAAUGAUUAAUAGGGACAGUCGGGGGCAUCAGUAUUCAAUUGUCAGAGGUGAAAUUCUUGGAUCAAUUGAAGACUAACUACUGCGAAAGCAUUUGCCAAGGAUGUUUUCAUUAAUCAGUGAACGAAAGUUAGGGGAUCGAAGACGAUCAGAUACCGUCGUAGUCUUAACCGUAAACUAUGCCGACUAGGGAUCGGGCGGUGUUAUCAUUUUGACCCGCUCGGCACCUUACGAGAAAUCAAAGUUUUUG